AUACUGGGAUUACAAGUAUGCACAGGAAUUCCAGGUUUAUCCAGGUUCAUCAAGCCCAAGGCUUGGUGCAUGCUAAGGAAGCAGUUUCCCAGCUGAGCGACAUUCCAAGCCUGAGGAAGAAAUCCUGUUACGUUGCACCAUCUAUUCUUACUGGGUAAACUGAAAGUUACCAUGAGAAGAUUAGACUGGGGCACCUGAAUAUCUCAGAACAGCACACAGGAACACAACACACCCAAUCAUAAAUGGAAACAUACAUCUGCUUCUGUCUGAGAUCCCUGCCUAUUGGAUGGUGCCGUCUACAUUUAGGGUUAAGUUGCUCCUGCUGUAAAGAUGAUCAGUGAAAUGGGUGCUGGCAGCACAAAACAGAAGAGGCAGUGAGCAUGGAUAGCUGA
Mus musculus (house mouse) is the source of this 392-nucleotide long non-coding RNA. RefSeq annotates it as predicted gene, 32985. The record is from RefSeq and is a predicted model, not a curated record. The transcript is spliced from 3 exons. NCBI's taxonomy places the organism in Eukaryota, Metazoa, Chordata, Mammalia, Rodentia, Muridae.